RNAcentral lists this long non-coding RNA (457 nucleotides) under Daucus carota (carrot). RNAcentral's name for it is "long non-coding RNA (DCAR_LNC006914)". The record is from RNAcentral. Lineage: Eukaryota; Viridiplantae; Streptophyta; Magnoliopsida; Apiales; Apiaceae.
GAUGAUUUAUUGGGGUAUGAUUUUGGAUACCGUCUAAACUGCCACAAUUCCUAACGGACGGAAAUUUAAAAAUUUGAAUGAAAAAGCCAAAAAAAGAGAAACAUGAACCGAUGUGAAAAUCACUCGUUCCAACGCAGAAUGAUAGUAGGACAAUCGACACCCAACGUUUCUUUGUCUGAACUCAACAUUAUCUAGACACUCUCCACAGCUAGCCCACUCUACUUAAAAGCUGACACACCCCACCCUCUCAUUCCUAUAUUCACACACCACUCAACACUUCACUCUUCACUUCAGAUUUUGCCUUAGAUUUACUUGCAUUUCCCCAGUAAUCUCUCUCUCUCUUCACUUCAGGUUCUGCUUGGAUUUUCUUGCAUUCCCCCAGUAAUCUCUCUCUCCCUCUUGCACUCUCUCUCCCUCACUCCUCCCCCCCUCUCUCCCUCACUCCUCCCCCCCUCUC